AGAAGAAACUUACGAGGAUUCCCCUAGUAGCGGUGAGCGAACCGGGAAGAGCCCACCUUGAGAAUAGGGCGGCCCCCGACGCGCCGCCCGAAUUGUAGUCUGCAGAAGCGUCCUCAGCGACGGACCGGGCCCAAGUCCACUGGAAGGUGGCGCUGGAGAGGGUGAGAGCCCCGUUGUGCCCGGACCCUGCCGCACCACGAGGCGCUGUCGGCGAGUCGGGUUGUUUGGGAAUGCAGCCCCAAUCGGGCGGUAGAUUCCGUCCAAGGCUAAAUAUCGGCGGGAGACCGAUAGCGAACAAGUACCGCGAGGGAAAGAUGAAAAGGACUUUGAAAAGAGAGUCAAAGAGUGCUUGAAAUUUUCGGGAGGGAAGCGGAUGGGGGCCGACGAUGCGCCUUGGUCGGACGCGGAACGGUGUCGAGCCGGUCUGCCAAUCGCUACUCAGGGUGUGGGCCGCUGCGGGUUGAGGGGGCGGCCUAAGCCCUCGCGGUUGACCCCGCGUGUGGCACGCCGUCCCUUGGUCCGAGGAUCAGCUGCUGUGCGCCGGCUCGGCGUGCCACACGGCAUGCGAGMGCUCUGGGCAGCGGCCUGCGGG
This 592-nucleotide ribosomal RNA is filed under the name Hypodaphnis zenkeri. RNAcentral describes it as "eukaryotic LSU rRNA". It matches the Rfam family "Eukaryotic large subunit ribosomal RNA", at positions 56 to 636 of the family's 3401-position model. Lineage: Eukaryota; Viridiplantae; Streptophyta; Magnoliopsida; Laurales; Lauraceae. The record is from RNAcentral.